UGAGGAUAUUUCUAUCUUAGCAGCAACACUUGCAUGGGGUGAUGCGCUGCAUUGUACAUUCAAGCAGGCCCUUCAAUCUUAUGAGUCAUCUUUAUGCCAGGCCAGCUGUCAUUUAUGGCCUGCUACAGAGGGAUGCAACUCCAGAUACAUAAAAUCUGCUCUCAGAAAGCUUAAUAUGGUAUGUGUGAAUGCUACUUCAAUGGUCACAGGAGAUUUUGGCUCUGAUCCCAU
Mangifera indica (mango) is the source of this 231-nucleotide long non-coding RNA. RefSeq lists it as uncharacterized. NCBI's taxonomy places the organism in Eukaryota, Viridiplantae, Streptophyta, Magnoliopsida, Sapindales, Anacardiaceae. The record is from RefSeq and is a predicted model, not a curated record. The transcript has 3 exons.